UGAACUAGUUAGGUGUGGGCUCUAUUGCUC
RNAcentral lists this non-coding RNA (30 nucleotides) under Mus musculus (house mouse). Lineage: Eukaryota; Metazoa; Chordata; Mammalia; Rodentia; Muridae. The record is from RNAcentral.